This 402-nucleotide ribosomal RNA is filed under the name uncultured bacterium. RNAcentral's name for it is "bacterial SSU rRNA". It matches the Rfam family "Bacterial small subunit ribosomal RNA", at positions 29 to 429 of the family's 1533-position model. The record is from RNAcentral.
AGUGAACGCUGGCGGCAGGCCUAACACAUGCAAGUCGAACGGCAGCACAGCAGUAGCAAUACUGUGGGUGGCGAGUGGCGGACGGGUGAGGAAUACAUCGGAAUCUGCCUAGUCGUGGGGGAUAACGUAGGGAAACUUACGCUAAUACCGCAUACGACCUACGGGUGAAAGCGGGGGAUCGCAAGACCUCGCGCGAUUAGAUGAGCCGAUGUCCGAUUAGCUAGUUGGCGGGGUAAUGGCCCACCAAGGCGACGAUCGGUAGCUGGUCUGAGAGGAUGAUCAGCCACACUGGAACUGAGACACGGUCCAGACUCCUACGGGAGGCAGCAGUGGGGAAUAUUGGACAAUGGGCGCAAGCCUGAUCCAGCCAUGCCGCGUGGGUGAAGAAGGCCUCGGUGUAAG